RNAcentral lists this ribosomal RNA (253 nucleotides) under uncultured bacterium. RNAcentral describes it as "partial 16S ribosomal RNA". It matches the Rfam family "Bacterial small subunit ribosomal RNA", at positions 524 to 776 of the family's 1533-position model. The record is from RNAcentral.
GACAGAGGGUGCAAACGUUGCUCGGAAUGACUGGGCGUAAAGCGCGUGUAGGCGGAUUGGUGUGUCAGAUGUGAAAGCCCUGGGCUCAACCCAGGAACUGCACCUGAAACUACCAGUCUUGAGUGGUGGAGAGGGAAGUGGAAUUCCUGGUGUAGAGGUGAAAUUCGUAGAUAUCAGGAGGAACACCAGUGGCGAAGGCGGCUUCCUGGACACUAACUGACGCUGAGACGCGAAAGCGUGGGGAGCAAACAGG